RNAcentral lists this ribosomal RNA (385 nucleotides) under uncultured bacterium. RNAcentral describes it as "bacterial SSU rRNA". It matches the Rfam family "Bacterial small subunit ribosomal RNA", at positions 29 to 416 of the family's 1533-position model. The record is from RNAcentral.
AUUGAACGCUGGCGGCAGGCCUAACACAUGCAAGUCGAGCGCGAAAAUUCCUUCGGGGAUGAGUAGAGCGGCGGACGGGUGAGUAACGCGUAGGAAUCUGCCCGGUAGUGGGGGACAACAGUCGGAAACGACUGCUAAUACCGCAUACGCCCUAAGGGGAAAGGCAGGGGAUCUUCGGACCUUGCGCUAUCGGAUGAGCCUGCGUCGGAUUAGCUUGUUGGUGGGGUAAUGGCCUACCAAGGCGACGAUCCGUAGCUGGUCUGAGAGGAUGAUCAGCCACACUGGGACUGAGACACGGCCCAGACUCCUACGGGAGGCAGCAGUGGGGAAUAUUGGACAAUGGGGGAAACCCUGAUCCAGCCAUGCCGCGUGUGUGAAGAAGGCC